AAAGUUAGUGGCGGACGGGUGAGUAACACGUGGGCAACCUGCCUGUAAGUUGGGGAUAACUCCGGGAAACCGGGGCUAAUACCGAAUGAUAAAGUGUGGCGCAUGCCACGCUUUUGAAAGAUGGUUUCGGCUAUCGCUUACAGAUGGGCCCGCGGUGCAUUAGCUAGUUGGUAGGGUAAUGGCCUACCAAGGCAACGAUGCAUAGCCGACCUGAGAGGGUGAUCGGCCACACUGGGACUGAGACACGGCCCAGACUCCUACGGGAGGCAGCAGUAGGGAAUCUUCCGCAAUGGACGAAAGUCUGACGGAGCAACGCCGCGUGUAUGA
RNAcentral lists this ribosomal RNA (327 nucleotides) under Listeria monocytogenes. RNAcentral describes it as "bacterial SSU rRNA". It matches the Rfam family "Bacterial small subunit ribosomal RNA", at positions 88 to 408 of the family's 1533-position model. The record is from RNAcentral. Lineage: Bacteria; Bacillati; Bacillota; Bacilli; Caryophanales; Listeriaceae.